Molecule: ribosomal RNA, 428 nt
Filed under: uncultured Crenothrix sp.
Lineage: Bacteria; Pseudomonadati; Pseudomonadota; Gammaproteobacteria; Methylococcales; Crenotrichaceae
Description: bacterial SSU rRNA
Rfam family: Bacterial small subunit ribosomal RNA
Source: RNAcentral
UGGGGAAUAUUGGACAAUGGGCGAAAGCCUGAUCCAGCAAUACCGCGUGUGUGAAGAAGGCCUGAGGGUUGUAAAGCACUUUCAAUGGGGAGGAAUACCUGAUGGCGAAUACCCAUCAGACUGACAUUACCCAUACAAGAAGCACCGGCUAACUCCGUGCCAGCAGCCGCGGUAAUACGGAGGGUGCAAGCGUUAAUCGGAAUUACUGGGCGUAAAGCGUGCGUAGGCGGUUUGCUAAGUCAGAUGUGAAAGCCCCGGGCUUAACCUGGGAACUGCAUUUGAUACUGGUUAACUAGAGUUUAAUAGAGGGGAGUGGAAUUUCAGGUGUAGCGGUGAAAUGCGUAGAUAUCUGAAGGAACACCAGUGGCGAAGGCGACUCCCUGGAUUAAAACUGACGCUGAGGUACGAAAGCGUGGGUAGCAAACAGG